UACGUAGGGUGCAAGCGUUGUCCGGAAUUAUUGGGCGUAAAGAGCUCGUAGGCGGUCUGUCGCGUCUGCUGUGAAAACUCGGGGCUUAACCCCGGGCCUGCAGUGGGUACGGGCAGACUAGAGUGCGGUAGGGGAGACUGGAAUUCCUGGUGUAGCGGUGAAAUGCGCAGAUAUCAGGAGGAACACCGGUGGCGAAGGCGGGUCUCUGGGCCGUAACUGACGCUGAGGAGCGAAAGCAUGGGUAGCAAACAGG
Molecule: ribosomal RNA, 253 nt
Filed under: uncultured bacterium
Lineage: Bacteria
Description: partial 16S ribosomal RNA
Rfam family: Bacterial small subunit ribosomal RNA
Source: RNAcentral